Molecule: ribosomal RNA, 434 nt
Filed under: uncultured Oscillospiraceae bacterium
Lineage: Bacteria; Bacillati; Bacillota; Clostridia; Eubacteriales; Oscillospiraceae
Description: partial 16S ribosomal RNA
Rfam family: Bacterial small subunit ribosomal RNA
Source: RNAcentral
ACGGAAGGCAGCAGUGGGGAAUAUUGGGCAAUGGGGGAAACCCUGACCCAGCAACGCCGCGUGAAGGAAGAAGGCCUUCGGGUUGUAAACUUCUUUUACCAGGGACGAUAAUGACGGUACCUGGAGAAAAAGCAACGGCUAACUACGUGCCAGCAGCCGCGGUAAUACGUAGGUUGUAAGCGUUGUCCGGAUUUACUGGGUGUAAAGGGCGUGUAGGCGGAGCUGCAAGUCAGAUGUGAAAUCCCGGGGCUCAGCCCCGGAACUGCAUUUGAAACUGUAGCCCUUGAGUAUCGGAGAGGCAAGCGGAAUUCCUAGUGUAGCGGUGAAAUGCGUAGAUAUUAGGAGGAACACCAGUGGCGAAGGCGGCUUGCUGGACGACAACUGACGCUGAGGCGCGAAAGCGUGGGGAGCAAACAGGAUUAGAUACCCUGGUA